Non-coding RNA from Podarcis lilfordi (Lilford's wall lizard), 4334 nucleotides. NCBI's taxonomy places the organism in Eukaryota, Metazoa, Chordata, Lepidosauria, Squamata, Lacertidae. The record is from the annotation of a GenBank genome assembly.
GGGUCAUAUGGCCAGCAUGACUAAGCCGCUUCUGGUGAAACCAGAGCAGCACACAGAAACGCCAUUUACCUUCCCGCUGGAGCGGUACCUAUUUAUCUACUUGCACUUUGACGUGCUUUCGAACUGCUAGGUUGGCAGGAGCAGGGACUGAGCAACAGGAGCUCACCCAGUCGCAGGGAUUCGAACCACCAACCUUCCGAUCGGCAAGCCCUAGGCUCAGUGGUUUAGACCACAGUGCCACCCGUGUCACCAUGCCACCUGGUGGUAUGACUUGAUAAAAGGCUGUUUCCUAGCUAAGGGUUGGAAGGUUAUAUCUGCCAAAGGUUAUAAUCCCUCUUGGUUUCUUUGAAAUUCUUUAGAAAAUGCAAUUGACAAUCCAUUCUCACCUAGUAAUAAUUAAAUAAAUGUGGUGAAGAUUUUGCUAGGGCUGAAGAACGAUUCCUCUCAUUUUUUGUGCUUGAGUUUUAAAGUUGAGCAAUUCAAGGCUGCUGUUUUGUCAAAAGGAUCUCGCUUCCUCUCCUCUGUUCUGGGUAGAUUAUAGCCAUAAAAUGUACAGGGAAGAAUGGGAAAAUACCCCCAGCCAAACUUGCUUUCAUUGUCCCAGUCACAUUUUUUAUAUUUGCUGUAAGCCAUGUGCUCUUCUGGGAGAGGGAGGGGAGAAAAAGCAUUUGCAAGAUAAGUAAAGGGAAAAUGUAAUCCCUGGGUGGAAUGAAGGGUGCUUUGAAAUGAAUGGGGGAUAAUCCUUUUUGUUGUCGGUUACAAAUGCACUUUAUUUCUGCAUUAUCUGAGCGGUAGAAUACCCUGUUCACCGAAUCUGUCGCAGCGUUUUCUCUUUGGUAUUUUACAAAACUCAAGUAACAUAACAGUGUUAUGGACCUGUGAACUCCUCAUUGGUAUGACGCCAAGAGGGUCCUUUCAUUUCUUUUUAAAAAUAAACAAACUAGUGAAAUGGAUUGCAGCCAUAACCAGGAAAAUAAGCAGAGAGAAGACAGGUGAACCACAUUUAUUGUAUUUGUCUACAAAGAUCUUCAGGGUGACAAAUCUGUGUGGGUGUAAUAAAAUUCUGUUAACUCAGCCAGACUUGUCUAUGUCCCAGGACAGUGGUAAGAUUUGCUCCUUCCCAUAGUGCCAUCCUUUCUGGUGGGUAGGGAUGCUUUGCCGAUUUAUCCUCUCUUGGGGCCCCCACAACUCCAAGCAGGUGGUAAAAGUUAGCCCCAGUGCCAAUCCUUACCCUUCUAACAGGCCUCCUAGCCCAGAAACCAAAUCUUCUGACAAAUCUUUCACUGUAAAAAUUGCCUAAUGGUCUUCAACUUAACUGUAACCUGCCAAAAUGUACUCAGAUAAACCUCAUGAAAGGUUGUUACUACUAAGGAUGCUCACCAACCCCCAACAAUUUAGCGCUCUGUAGGUGAAAGACUAGCCAGUUGUGACAAUCUCAGAGAUAGGUUAAAAAAAAAAAUCAUCCCUACUCCUCUCCAAAGGCAACUGGCUAACACUGCAUUGCAUAAAGGAAGGGAAGGGUACAAAAACUGCUAUGACACCAGAGCUGGUUGGGGGACAUUCUCUCGCUGAUGGGACAGAUCAUUAUUUCCCCACCCCUGGAGGGCCAAAUUUGUCAGGUGGGAUUGUACUCCACUCAACCAGUUAGCAAGCAGAGAGUGCAAUCCUGUUGACUGCAAGGGGUCUGCUUUGCCAGCAUUUUCCCCAGGGCAAAUGUACUGAGAAAACAGACACCAGCAAGUCUGAAUAAUGUCUUCCAGCCCAUCAGUUGACUUUACUCAGUGAUCUCAGCUGAUGGACAGGUAGGCAUGGUUUGGGGGAAAAGGCCUUGCAGGCCCCCUUGUAGGCCAAGACUGACACAUGGGCUGGAAGUUCCCCACCCCUAAACAAAGACAGCCCAUGCCUCUGAUAGUACUGUACCAUAUGCCUUAUCUGCCAACUUCAGUUGCCCUUCCUACUCUUCCCCAGAAGAGCCGAAAAGCGGGCCCCUGCCCAACCCCAUCAGGAGAAGCCACGGAAUGCAAUUGAUGUUAUGAUACGUGAUGUGGGCAAGGGCAGCAAAAAUAAAACAGGAGGGUGUGUUGGGUUGAAAUGAGCGACAGACGAAUGGCAAGGUGUCAUACGGGAGGCAUCUCCCGAGCAAGUCUCGGACAGUCCCUUUUAUUGAAUAUUACAGCAUUUGCCACAUAUGUGCUUAUUGCUGAUUGGUUAACACAAGUACAAAGCAAAGGUUACAUAUUACAUUAAUCACCAAUAGAUUAAAGGUUGGGAAAGGGAGCACAGAACUAGACAGGCAUGAAACCUCCUAAUUAAAUUAUAACUAGUGAUUGAUUAUCAAGACUUAAACGAUUACUAAUGAUUGAUUUUUGCAUGACAUGAAAGAACAUAACAAUCGCGUUCCGUAGAUGUGGUCAACUAUGCAUUAAGAACAGGUCAGAGUAUAAUGUUUUCAUGAACUCAAUAUGAACUGAACAUUCUAGGGUGAUGAGGGAAUGUCUUGGUAUUAGAACGGUUUGUGCAGCAUGUGCAGAAGAAAAGCUUAGAAGCAAAACUUCCCAUCAUGCCACAGUCAUGUGCAGAAGCAAAGCUUCCCUUCAAGGGUGGGGCACAGAAAGCUGAAAUAAUUCCAAAGGAGAAAUUAUGGUAGUUCUCAAAAGUUCCAGCCAACUGUUAACAUUUAUUAUAGCUCAGUGUGUUUCAGAAACGACAUAAAGAUAAUUAAAAAUGGGUAGAAACUUUUGACAUCUAAGUGAAAUACUAUAUAAACUGCUUGAAAUAUUUGAGACAUCAGUUAUGACUAGUCUUCCCUCAACCUAGUGACCUGCAGAUGUUUUGGAUAUUUCACCAUAAAAUUGUUUUGGGGCAGAAAGUGAUAGGUAGAGGAGAAAGGGAGGGCGGGAGGAGAUUAACAGUCAAAAGUUUUUUUGCUUGGAUUCCCAGAAGAUAUAUCAUCUUCACCACUGUUGUGGGAGCAUUUGAUUUGAUGUUUGAAAAGCUGUUUGAUAGCUUUUCACAAGUUGAGCAUCGUUAAGCAGGCUUGAUUGUCAAGAAAUAAAAAAGGGUGACAGAAGGAAGCAGCUUCAUGGUGUGAACCCUAGGAACAACUUCAGAGAGUCUGCAGGCGCUAAAAAGGAAGUUCUGUUUUUCAAACUUCAACCAUCUCAAGAGGAUCCGAUUUUGCAUGACACCAACUCACAUGUCUUAAAAGUAAGGGCCAUGCUAUAGUAAUUUUUUUUCAGAUCCUCUCUCCAAAGCAGGUGUUAGAUAAUUCAGUAAUUAGUAUGCACAUCUAACUCCAUCACAGCCUCUGUUGAUCUCUCAAUUAUAGUUAGCUGGGUCCUCUGCCAUUUGCGGUAGUUAAUUAGAGCAUUAUUGAACAGCCAGGCUUUGCAGCCAAGCUUUGCAAUCAACUGACAGCUCAGUCCUGUGUACUUAGAAACAGUUUAGUCCUUGACCUGUGCAUAUCAGGUUUGAAUUGCAGAUCCUAGAGGGAGCGACUCACAUCUCUCCCUGCAAAAUAAACCCAAAAUGUAAUGCUUCCAUGAAGAAAGAGCAAGAGUAUAUUUUUUGAAAGCAAUUUUCAGGGCAAUCCCAUUGGAUGCUUUCAUCCUUGACUUUGCAAGAUGCAUCACAUGCUUAAGAAGACGAGGCAGCAUGAAUGUUAAAAAGCAAUGUGAAAAUGGCAGCUUAACCUGGUCUCUUUGGGCCUGGAAAACUUAUUCACUUGGCAUGAUCUGCAUCACACAUUGAAGGUGAUUUCCAACACUGGAUAUGCCCACAGAAGACCUAUUGAAGUCAGUAGACUUAAGUGUAAUAAUUUCAGUGGACCCACUCUGUGUAGGACUACGGAUUGCACCCAGUUCUAAUCCUACCAGAGGAAAUGCAUUGAAAUUAAUGGACUUGACCAACUUAGCUUCAUUAAUCUUCAUGGGUCUGCUCUGAGUAGAACUCAGUUAGAUGCAACCCUAAUAUUGGCUGUCACUCUAUAUAUAUGUGUGGAAGGGGUCUCCUGGUUGCCAUGGACUGGUUGGAUGCAGAGGAAUGGUGGGAGGCACCAGCUGGGGAACCCCCAGGAGAAGAAGGCUCAGAGCCAGGGGAUUGGUGUUGGGACAACAAUGAGUGGUCAGAGGGAGAAGAGAGAGAAGGCUGGAAGGAGGAGGUGUCAGAAGCUGGAGGGGCAACAGGGGUUAGUGAGCAGGAAGAGUCUGUGUCAGAGUGGGGUGCAGACUCUGAGGCUGAAGCAGAAGCUGGAGAGAAAGGGGGUCAAGAGGCUGCUGCAGAAUCCAAGGAGUCUCCCCCACCUGCUGUGACCAGCUCCCCUCCCCCCGGUCUCC